This 429-nucleotide ribosomal RNA is filed under the name uncultured bacterium. RNAcentral's name for it is "bacterial SSU rRNA". It matches the Rfam family "Bacterial small subunit ribosomal RNA", at positions 355 to 776 of the family's 1533-position model. The record is from RNAcentral.
UGGGGAAUUUUGGACAAUGGGGGCAACCCUGAUCCAGCCAUUCCGCGUGAGUGAAGAAGGCCUUCGGGUUGUAAAGCUCUUUUGUCCGGAACGAAACGGUUGUGGUGAAUAUCCACGACUACUGACGGUACCGGAAGAAUAAGCACCGGCUAACUACGUGCCAGCAGCCGCGGUAAUACGUAGGGUGCGAGCGUUAAUCGGAAUUACUGGGCGUAAAGCGUGCGCAGGCGGUUUUGUAAGCCAGAUGUGAAAUCCCCGGGCUUAACCUGGGAAUGGCAUUUGGGACUGCAAGGCUCGAGUAUGGCAGAGGGGACUAGAAUUCCUGGUGUAGCAGUGAAAUGCGUAGAUAUCAGGAGGAAUACCGAUGGCGAAGGCAGGUCCCUGGGUUAAUACUGACGCUCAUGCACGAAAGCGUGGGGAGCAAACAGG